Molecule: non-coding RNA, 29 nt
Filed under: Homo sapiens (human)
Lineage: Eukaryota; Metazoa; Chordata; Mammalia; Primates; Hominidae
Source: RNAcentral
UUCAAGGAAGCAGUGAGUUACGACUGUGC